This 240-nucleotide unclassified non-coding RNA is filed under the name soil metagenome. RNAcentral's name for it is "partial contains 5.8S ribosomal RNA, internal transcribed spacer 2, and large subunit ribosomal RNA". The record is from RNAcentral.
AAGACUAUAGACCUGCGGAGUACCUGCGGAAGGAUCAUUACAGAGUUGCAAAACUCCCUAAACCAUUGUGAACGUUACCUAAACCGUUGCUUCGGCGGGCGGCCCGGGUCCUUCCCGGCGCCCAUCGGCCCUCGCGGGCGCCCGCCGGAGGUAAACCAAACUAUUGCAUUGUAUGGCCUCUCUGAGUCUUCUGUACUGAAUAAGUCAAAACUUUUAACAAUGGAUCUCUAGAUCGGAAGA